This is a long non-coding RNA of Sinocyclocheilus anshuiensis, 593 nucleotides long. RefSeq lists it as uncharacterized. The transcript is spliced from 3 exons. NCBI's taxonomy places the organism in Eukaryota, Metazoa, Chordata, Actinopteri, Cypriniformes, Cyprinidae. The record is from RefSeq and is a predicted model, not a curated record.
UUGCUGGCGAUACAACAGUAACUGGACCGUCAGCAGAGCAGACAGCAGGACUCACAGCCAGCAGCAUUUUUCAUGAUGACCUGGGUCCUCCGCAGUGUAAGAGCAUUAGUUUGGAGCGAGGGCCUGACGGACUGGGCUUCAGUAUCGUGGGUGGAUUCGGCAGCCCUCACGGUGACCUUCCCAUCUACGUCAAAACCGUUUUCAGCAAGGGGGCCGCGGCAGAGGACGGGCGUCUGAAGCGCGGAGAUCAAGUCAUCGCCGUUAACGACCAGAGUCUGGAGGGAGUCACUCAUGAGGAGGCCGUCUGUAUUCUGAAGAAAACCAAAGGAACUGUCACACUCACUGUGCUGUCAUGAACACACACAGGUCCUGUAGUUGUUUAGACACUGGAUGACACACUGUGGAUGAUAGAGCUGUUUACUGCUAGUUUGUGGAGAAACCAGCAGACUACUACAAUCUGCCGUACUACGCUGAGACUGUAGAAACUCAGCUCUACUGCAAUCCACACACAUGCAUUUGUGCUUUAAAAUGCUGAAAUGCUCAUGGCUACAUGGCACAUCUGGUUAUGACAUAUUUUUCCAUCUUUUGAUAAA